UACGUAGGGUCCGAGCGUUGUCCGGAAUUACUGGGCGUAAAGAGCUCGUAGGCGGUUUGUCGCGUUGUUCGUGAAAACUCACAGCUCAACUGUGGGCGUGCGGGCGAUACGGGCAGACUUGAGUGCUGCAGGGGAGACUGGAAUUCCUGGUGUAGCGGUGGAAUGCGCAGAUAUCAGGAGGAACACCGGUGGCGAAGGCGGGUCUCUGGGCAGUAACUGACGCUGAGGAGCGAAAGCGUGGGGAGCGAACAGG
This 253-nucleotide ribosomal RNA is filed under the name uncultured bacterium. RNAcentral describes it as "partial 16S ribosomal RNA". It matches the Rfam family "Bacterial small subunit ribosomal RNA", at positions 524 to 776 of the family's 1533-position model. The record is from RNAcentral.